This 400-nucleotide ribosomal RNA is filed under the name uncultured bacterium. RNAcentral describes it as "bacterial SSU rRNA". It matches the Rfam family "Bacterial small subunit ribosomal RNA", at positions 355 to 752 of the family's 1533-position model. The record is from RNAcentral.
UCGAGGAUAUUUAGCAAUGGGCGAAAGCCUGACUAUGUGACGCCGCGUGAGGGAUGAAGGCCUUCGGGUUGUAAACCUCUUUCGAUAGGGAAGAACACCUGCACUAACACUGCAGAUUGACGGUACCUAUAGAAGAAGCCAUGGCCAACUCUGUGCCAGCAGCCGCGGUAAUACAGAGAUGGCGAGCGUUACUCGGAUUUAUUGGGUGUAAAGGGCAGGUAGGCGGCUAUACAAGUUGAGGGUGAAAUCCUGCGGCUCAACCGCAGAACUGCCUUCAAAACUGUAUGGCUUGAGGUCGGAAGAGGAAAGCGGAAUUCCCGGUGUAAGGGUGAAAUCUGUAGAUAUCGGGAGGAACACCAGUGGCGAAGGCGGCUUUCUGGUCCGACCCUGACGCUAAGCU